Candidatus Buchananbacteria bacterium is the source of this 71-nucleotide non-coding RNA. The record is from Rfam. NCBI's taxonomy places the organism in Bacteria, Candidatus Buchananiibacteriota.
GUGGCUAUAGUUUAGUGGUAGAACAGCGGGUUGUGGUCCCGUUGGUGAGGGUUCGAUUCCCUCUAGCCACC